Mobula hypostoma (lesser devil ray) is the source of this 339-nucleotide long non-coding RNA. RefSeq lists it as uncharacterized. The record is from RefSeq and is a predicted model, not a curated record. NCBI's taxonomy places the organism in Eukaryota, Metazoa, Chordata, Chondrichthyes, Myliobatiformes, Myliobatidae. The transcript is spliced from 3 exons.
CCACUUCCGACUGCAACUAGGGUAGAUCUGUACCUGAACGUAAAGGUACUUGUACCCAGCUCGGACUGCACUGGGCUGUCAGACGAGAUCCCGGCCGCUGGGAGUGCGGUGAACGCGGCGCUGAGUCAGUGACGGACGGACGGGAGCGGGAGCACUGGCAUUCACAGUAGAACAAAGAAAUGCAGUAGAGUCAAUGGAAAACUACAGAUAAAGACUGAGAAAAAACUAAUGUGGAAAAGAAGGCAAAUGGCGCAAAUACAGAAAAACAAAUAAUAAUAAUAAUAAUAAAUGGUACAGGGACAAUGGUGGACGUUUUGAAGCAGGAGGGCACUCUACACU